UGUUUUGUAAAAAAAAAUGACUUUUUAAAACAGGGAAUUAGCACACUUUGCUUUAUUUAUUAAAAAAAAAACUAAAAUAUAAAUGUAGAUGAUAAUUUCUCAUGGCCACUUGGCCGUAACCGCGUCUUAAGCAGGGGAAAAUCGCGGGGGUAGGGAUUUAACCAAACAAAAUUAUUGGCUAUUGUUGCACAAUAAACACAACAACUAUAACAUCGAAAAAUUAAGAACUCUAUCUUAAUGUCUGUCUACACCUUUCUACCUAUCUACUUAGGCACAAAAUACAGUUAAAUCAACAGGGAAACUAAACUAAAAAGAUAAGCUUAAAAUAACAGGCAUAACAUUUUUAAAAUUCAAGGUAAACGAGGUUUAUAUAUAAAAUAGGCGUAAGUAACGUGUAAACUGCCUUGUAUAUAUAUCGAGAAUGAGGUUCAGAGGUCCCUCCCCCACCCCUUCCCCUCUGGCGUGGCGGCCAUGGCGCGUGCAUUUACUCGGGAGUAGUUGCGUGUGCCACCGCUGUACUGAUGCUGUCUUGGCGCCGGAGCCGGGCGCUGCUGUCUUGUGUUUAUGACUUGAUGAUUAACAUCGCACAACAGUAAGAGUUCUAAGUGUAUAACCAAGGAACCAAAUAUUAUUAUUAAUGUAUCUAAAUUGUAAUUUAUUGUGGGCGAACAUUCUUCUGUAUCUAAUGGUGGAGCUAUUUAUGAUUUUAAUUGUUAUGUAAAAAUAAAAUACACUGUAUUGUUUAUGUGGUGUAUGAAAGAAAACUAAACUUCGCUGAAUUCGGAUAGACAGUUAAUGACGUCAUUAAAUCGAUUAAUUGUUACGUUACGUCUUGUGUCUUUUGACUUCGUUGAUUUUGUGAUUUUGAAAUUUGACAGAUCUAGAAAUAUUGUUGUUUCUAUGGAACUAAUAGAUAGUGAAAGGGAUAACAAUGUUCAUUUACGUAUUAGUAGUAAAGUGUAGGGCAGGAAGUGAUUUGUUUUUUUUCCUGUUCCGUAUGACAAAGAAUUGGAAUACACUGCCGACAUCUGUGUUUCCGGAAAGCAAUAAUUUUGCGUUAUUUAAGGCUAAUAAGAACAGGCUUUCGUCAGUCGCUUAACAUCAAGUGAGGUUGUGGCCAAGUCUUCGUCUACUUGUAAUGCUUGCCAUCGUGGUGGAAGGGUUUGCCCAUCGCUUUAUUAAAAGCCUAGUUCACCCCAAUCUAUUCCUUUCAAAACUAGAGAACAUUUGUCUUAAAGCAAUCACCAUUUGCCACUGAUAUGUAUUUAGAUCUGUGGAUUUUGAGAAUUUCCAGUCACCGAAGCAUUACUCACUAGACAUUUCGUGUGGUUAAUUUUCACGGUUUUUACCUACGUUCCGCACAAUCAUGCACAAAAAGGUUUUUAU
Molecule: long non-coding RNA, 1386 nt
Organism: Hyposmocoma kahamanoa
Lineage: Eukaryota; Metazoa; Arthropoda; Insecta; Lepidoptera; Cosmopterigidae
Exons: 2
Source: RefSeq, a predicted model, not a curated record